Molecule: ribosomal RNA, 322 nt
Filed under: uncultured Eocercomonas
Lineage: Eukaryota; Cercozoa; Cercomonadida; Cercomonadidae
Description: SSU rRNA
Rfam family: Eukaryotic small subunit ribosomal RNA (bases 112-322)
Source: RNAcentral
GAUUUCUGGUUUGAUACAUUUUGCCGGCCACGGUUUCGUGUGUUAGUGCUUUAUGUUCUGACCAUCCUUCCAAUCGCUGCUCACUUUUCUUCAUUGAUUGGUGAGUGGUAUUGGAUCUUUUACUUUGAAAAAAUUAGAGUGUUUCAAGCAGGCUUUAUGCUAUGAAUACAUUAGCAUGGAAUAAUAAUUUAGGACUUCGGUUCUAUUUUGUUGGUUUCUAGGACUGAAGUAAUGAUUGAUAGGGAUAGUUGGGGGUGCUAGUAUUCAGCGGCCAGAGGUGAAAUUCUCGGAUUCGCUGAAGACUAACUUAUGCGAAAGCAUU